RNAcentral lists this ribosomal RNA (306 nucleotides) under uncultured Peredibacter sp. RNAcentral's name for it is "partial 16S ribosomal RNA". It matches the Rfam family "Bacterial small subunit ribosomal RNA", at positions 1033 to 1340 of the family's 1533-position model. Lineage: Bacteria; Pseudomonadati; Bdellovibrionota; Bacteriovoracia; Bacteriovoracales; Bacteriovoracaceae. The record is from RNAcentral.
GAGAGGUGCUGCAUGGCUGUCGUCAGCUCGUGUUGUGAAAUGUUGGGUUAAGUCUCGCAACGAGCGCAACCCCUAUCGUCUGUUGCCAGCAUUAAGUUGGGCACUCUGACGAGACUGCCUGGGUUAACCAGGAGGAAGGUGGGGAUGACGUCAAGUCCUCAUGGCCCUUAUGUCUAGGGCUACACACGUAAUACAAUGGCGCAUACAAAAAAAAACAAACUCACAAAAAAAAGCAAAUCUCAAAAAACACAUCUCAGUCCAAAUUAAAAUCUGCAACUCAACUCCAUGAAGUUGGAAUCGCUAAUA